Molecule: ribosomal RNA, 233 nt
Filed under: uncultured bacterium
Lineage: Bacteria
Description: partial 16S ribosomal RNA
Rfam family: Bacterial small subunit ribosomal RNA
Source: RNAcentral
UGAGCAAUCUGCCCUUCUCUUUGGAAUAAGCGUUGGAAACGACGUCUAAUGCCGAAUACGACCUCCUUUCGCAUGAUCGGAGGUGGAAAGCUCCGGCGGAGAAGGAUGAGCUCGCGGCCUAUCAGCUAGUUGGUGUGGGUAAUGGCCCACAAGGCGACGACGGGUAGCCGGCCUGGAGAGGGUGACCGGCCACGACGUGGGACUGAGACACGGCCCAGACCUCCGUACGGGGA